This 231-nucleotide unclassified non-coding RNA is filed under the name uncultured Mucoromycotina. RNAcentral's name for it is "sequence contains ITS1". Lineage: Eukaryota; Fungi. The record is from RNAcentral.
CAUAUAUUGAAUAUUGAAUAAUAAUAAUUCAAUGUUUCUUGUUUUUUUAUAUCAAAAAAAAAAAACAAUGAAAUACUUUAUGUGCACUGUAUUCAGGCCGACGAUGUUUUAUUAUUUAAUUAAUUAGACAUAACUCUGCCUGUAUUAAUCUAUAAAAUGAUUAUAAUAAUACUACUACUAAUAAUUAACCUGUUGAUAUUUUGAUGUAAAUUCAAAUUACAAUUCAAAUAA